CUGAAGGCUGAGACGUGAUGCCGAGCCGAUUCAGGUGAAGUCAGUGAUCCUAUGCUGCCGAGAAAAGCCUCUAGCGAGUUCUUAGCGGCCCGUACCCCAAACCGACACAGGUGGUCAGGUAGAGAAUACCAAGGCGACGGGCGAACUGUGGUUAAGGAACUCGGCAAAUUACCCCCGUAACUUCGGGAGAAGGGGGGCCGGACACGUGAAGCAACACGCUUGUGGAGCGUGGUAUGGCCGCAGAGACCAGGGGGAAGCGACUGUUUACUAAAAACACAGGUCCAUGCGAAGAAGUAAUUCGAUGUAUAUGGACUGACGCCUGCCCGGUGCUGGAACGUUAAGGGGACCUGUUAGCUCUUCGGGGCGAAGCGGAGAACUUAAGCGCCAGUAAACGGCGGUGGUAACUAUAACCAUCCUAAGGUAGCGAAAUUCCUUGUCGGGUAAGUUCCGACCUGCACGAAUGGCGUAACGACUUCCCUACUGUCUCAACCACAGGCCCGGCGAAAUUGCAGUACGAGUAAAGAUGCUCGUUACGCGCGGCAGGACGGAAAGACCCCGGGACCUUUACUAUAGCUUGACAUUGGUAUCUGAGUUAAUUUGUGUAGGAUAGGUGGGAGCCUGUGAAGCUCGUACGCCAGUACGGGUGGAGGCAAUCUUGAAAUACCACUCUGGUUGAUUCGGGUAUCUAACUUCGGACCGUGAUCCGGUUCAGGGACAGUGUCUGGUGGGUAGUUUAACUGGGGCGGUUGCCUCCUAAAGAGUAACGGAGGCGCCCAAAGGUUCCCUCAGCCUGGUUGGCAAUCAGGUGUUGAGUGUAAGUGCACAAGGGAGCUUGACUGUGAGACUGACAGGUCGAGCAGGGACGAGAGUCGGGACUAGUGAUCCGGCACCGGCAUGUGGAAGCGGUGUCGCUCAACGGAUAAAAGGUACCCCGGGGAUAACAGGCUGAUCUUCCCCAAGAGUCCAUAUCGACGGGAUGGUUUGGCACCUCGAUGUCGGCUCGUCGCAUCCUGGGGCUGUAGCAGGUCCCAAGGGUUGGGCUGUUCGCCCAUUAAAGCGGUACGCGAGCUGGGUUUAGAACGUCGUGAGACAGUUCGGUCCCUAUCCGCCGUGCGCGUAGGAUACUUGAGAAGGGCUGUCCCUAGUACGAGAGGACCGGGACGGACGAACCUCUGGUGUGCCAGUUGUCCCGCCAGGGGCACGGCUGGUUAGCUACGUUCGGAAGGGAUAACCGCUGAAAGCAUCUAAGCGGGAAGCUCGCUUCAAGAUGAGGUAUCCCACCC
RNAcentral lists this ribosomal RNA (1283 nucleotides) under metagenome. Its description in RNAcentral is "bacterial LSU rRNA". It matches the Rfam family "Bacterial large subunit ribosomal RNA", at positions 1549 to 2819 of the family's 2925-position model. The record is from RNAcentral.